RNAcentral lists this microRNA (24 nucleotides) under Sus scrofa (pig). RNAcentral describes it as "partial non-coding RNA". Lineage: Eukaryota; Metazoa; Chordata; Mammalia; Artiodactyla; Suidae. The record is from RNAcentral.
GGACUUCCCGUGUGGCUCACAACA